GAUGAACGCUGGCGGCGUGCCUAAUACAUGCAAGUCGAGCGAAGCGGGGACGGGUGAGUAACACGUGGAUAACCUCCUAUAAGACUGGGGUAACUUCGGGAAACCGGAGCUAAACCGGAUACUUAAAGCAGGAUCCGCGCUGCAUUAGCUAGGUGGUAAGGUAACGGCGUACCAAGGCAACGAUGCCUAGCCGACCUGAGAGGUGGAUCGGCCACACUGGGACUGAGACACGGUCCAGACUCCUACGGGAGGCAGCAGUAGGGAAUCUUCCGCAAUGGGCGAAAGCCUGACGGAGCAACGCCGCGUGAAUGAUGAAGGUCUUCGGGUCGUAAAACUCUGUUAUUAGGGAAGCGGUACCUAAUCAGAAAGCCACGGCUAACUACGUGCCAGCAGCCGCGGUAAUUC
This 405-nucleotide ribosomal RNA is filed under the name uncultured bacterium. RNAcentral's name for it is "partial 16S ribosomal RNA". It matches the Rfam family "Bacterial small subunit ribosomal RNA", at positions 28 to 526 of the family's 1533-position model. The record is from RNAcentral.